Molecule: long non-coding RNA, 200 nt
Filed under: Panax ginseng (ginseng)
Lineage: Eukaryota; Viridiplantae; Streptophyta; Magnoliopsida; Apiales; Araliaceae
Description: long non-coding RNA (PGIN_LNC017984)
Source: RNAcentral
CGGCUCAAUCGGUACGGAAAGGCUUGUUGCACCUUCAUUUGCGGACUCACGUCAGUGAUGUGACUAAGGAGCGGACAGUGCUUCUAUAUUGUUUUGUAAAAGGAAACAAAUAGAUGUGGUGAAAGUAGUAUGCACAUAAGCCAAUCAUGUUGAUGAUAAAGCAUAUACUUUGUAACAAUCUUAUUCAUUUAUUAAUUAAA